RNAcentral lists this long non-coding RNA (624 nucleotides) under Vitis vinifera (wine grape). RNAcentral describes it as "long non-coding RNA (VVIN_LNC002601)". The record is from RNAcentral. Lineage: Eukaryota; Viridiplantae; Streptophyta; Magnoliopsida; Vitales; Vitaceae.
UUGAACGUGAAUCACUGUAGAGGGUUGAGUAAGGAGAUUAAGUGACGCAGACGUAUCUGGUCUGAUUCGUGUGGCGGCCUUGGGAGAGAGACGCGACGCUGUUCCUCACGUCGGUUGUCCCGCGGCGGCUAUGUCGCACGUGCGGCCCCCAACCCCACCACCAUCGCUCCAUCGCCACUUUUGCGCCGCUUAUAUUAAAUGCAUGUACACAUCACCCACCUGCUUAAAAGUAGAGCCUACUUGCUUCUACUUUAAACAGUGUCGGCACCAAGUCCAGGGCAUACUGGCAAAAUGGUAAUGGCCCUGUGUUUUUUCAUUUUACUAGCUACAUAUUAUUUUCACUCGUGUCCAACGUUAUCAAUUGAGUCGUCUACAUGUGUUCUCGGUGUUUGUCUGCUGCGCAGGUGUUUGGAACCUUCAUUCGGUUAUAAUUCAUAUCCACCCUCCACACGCAAUCUCCCACCGCCGUCUCUACCAACCAUCAUCCUCUGUUUUUAUAGCAAGACCCUCUCCCUGCAGCUUCUCACUUGGUGAUAUCCUCUCUCCAGAUGAGGAAAGGCACUUUCUGCUUCAAUAUUGGACCCCCGUGGCCUAUAUGUCUCCCCCAUGCUGCUGCUGUCUCUA